Molecule: ribosomal RNA, 274 nt
Filed under: uncultured bacterium
Lineage: Bacteria
Description: partial 16S ribosomal RNA
Rfam family: Bacterial small subunit ribosomal RNA
Source: RNAcentral
AUACGGAGGGGGCUAGCGUUGUUCGGAAUUACUGGGCGUAAAGGGCGCGUAGGCGGAUUGUCAAGUCAGAGGUGAAAGCCCUGGGCUCAACCUGGGAACUGCCUUUGAAACUAACGGUCUAGAGUCCGAGAGAGGAUGGCGGAAUUCCCAGUGUAGAGGUGAAAUUCGUAGAUAUUGGGAAGAACACCAGUGGCGAAGGCGGCCAUCUGGCUCGGUACUGACGCUGAGGCGCGAAAGCGUGGGGAGCAAACAGGAUUAGAAACCCCGGUAGUCC